UCUAAGAGGAGACGGAGAGAUUCAGGGAGGAGCUAAGAUGUUACUGAACUAUAGAAGAGAGAGGAACUUCUAUAUUCAGCAGAGUUCAAUACACAAACCAUCAACAUUACCUUCAUUCAACAUGCUCUCAUUGGACUGUUAUGGACUUUCUCUACUGUUUGUCACUAUUCUAACAGGUGUCAGCUGUGGAAAACUCACUCCAGUCAAGAAUGAAGAGUCCAGUUUAGAAGACAGCACUGUGACUCUGUCCUACAAAUACUCUGAAAAACCAACUGGUGGUGAUUAUUUCUUCUGGUAUCGACAAUAUCCAGGAAAACCACCAGAGUUCAUCAUCUCACACUCUUCUUUAGGAAGAGUAGGAACUUUUAAAAUCUCUGGACUGAAGACUGAAGUGGAUCAGAAACAAAUCCAUCUGAUCAUCUCCUCUGCUGCAGUGUCAGACUCUGCUGUGUACUACUGUGCUGUGAAGCCCACAGUGACAGGAAACACCAAAACUCUGUACAAAAACCUUUGGAGCAAAGACAACACAAUACUCCACAACGUCCACUAGAGGGAGUCACACUCUGUUCCACUUUAAGACGAUAACACAACAAAUGCUCCAACAACUCAACCAACAUCAUCAUCAUCCACUAAAGCUGUUCUUUCUCUGCUGUUUCACACUGAAAGCUCAAACUGGUUCACACAACAUGACAGUUUGAUCCAGAGGACAUAUUACUAGACGCACAAUGAUCCCUGAUUAGUGAAGCCUCUCUUAAAGGAGCCACAUCGACAUGAAAAGAUCCUCAGUAAUGACAGGCCUACAUCUAAUCUACCCUUUAUCAGCAAAGAUCGGACCGUACAGUGUGAUCACUCAGGUCGUGGCUGAUGAUCGGACCGUACAGUGUGAUCACUCAGGUCGUGGCUGG
Molecule: non-coding RNA, 905 nt
Organism: Sebastes umbrosus (honeycomb rockfish)
Lineage: Eukaryota; Metazoa; Chordata; Actinopteri; Perciformes; Sebastidae
Source: the annotation of a RefSeq genome assembly